This is an RNA transcript of Hibiscus syriacus, 558 nucleotides long. It is a transcript of the gene named mitochondrial import inner membrane translocase subunit PAM16 like 2-like, with no coding region annotated. The transcript has 6 exons. Lineage: Eukaryota; Viridiplantae; Streptophyta; Magnoliopsida; Malvales; Malvaceae. The record is from RefSeq and is a predicted model, not a curated record.
CGUUUUCAUUUAGAUUCUGUUUCGAUCAAAAACGAAAUUUUCUUGUUGUUUCUUCUCGGGGUGAAAAGGAAGAACAUCUUCUUCAUCUAUAGCAUUGAUUAAAUCGAACUCUGAUCCGCCAUGGCUGCCAGGAUUCUUGCCAACUUAAUUGUAAUGGGGUCGGGUAUAUUGGCUCGAGCUGUUGUUCAGGCAUACCGUCAAGCACUUGCAAAUGCUGCGAAAUCUGGUGUUACUCAUGAAACACUACAAAAUGCCGCCCGCCGAGCUGGUAGAGUCAUGACGGAGCAAGAAGCUAGGCAGAUUCUUGGUGUAAGCGAGGAUACCGCCUGGGAGGAGAUAAUGAAGAAGUAUGACCAUUUAUUUGAGAAGAAUGCCAAGGUCGGGAGCUUCUACCUUCAGUCAAAGGUUCAUCGGGCUAAGGAGUGCUUAGAAGCCGCCUAUCGAGCCAAAGGAGAGGGCAGUCCUCCUAGUUGAGAAUCCAUCCAGGUUUACUCGUUUCACAUACAGAUGUCCAUUUGUAAUCUAAUACCUGACUAAAAAAGGCUCUUGAAGAUUUAA